AUGGCCGGCCUCGCUCACCCGGGAGACCAAGCUCGGUUUCGAGCGGUAUGCCGCUCAUGGCGCUCGGUCCCGUCUCCACGCAAGCUACCCAUGAUCGUGCUCCCGACUGGCUUCUUGUUGCUCUGCUUGCACAACGGCUUCCACAGGAUCGAACCCUUCCCAGAGCACGACCGCUGCAUCGGCUCCACCGACACCUUCCUUGCUAUCGACAAGACUGAUGAUCAGAACAGGCAUACCUACAAGCUGCUUAACCCUUGCUCAAAGACGUUGGUGGAACUCCCGGAGCUCGACGAAAUCGUUGGCAAUGUUGUUUCCGAGUCGUUUGAGAUCCACAAAGUGCUCAUGCAGUCAUCAGGUCCUGGUCACUAUGCCGACGGUCUCAUCGCUGUAAGGACCAACAACCGUAUUCAUCCCAUCAUCUUACUAAAGCCAGGUAAGGGCGUGUGGUUGCCCCCGCCGCGAUCAAAACCCUUCACCCGUAUCAUCGACGUCGCGUUUCUUGAAGACACACUCUAUGCCAUCACACAGGCUGAGAACCUCAUCUCCUUCGGCGUCGCCUUUGAUACCAAUGGCAUACCCACGGUGACCAGCAUUAAGCGUGUCAUCACAGGCCCGAUUACCGAUGUUUUUGCGAAAGAGAAACAUGCAUCGAGAAAGAGAAUUGGCGACUACAUAAUCAAUGACGGUAUGCACUUUGCAUAUGACGACGAGAGACCUCACGUUGAUAUCGUCACCAUCUGGUACCUGGUCGAGUCGCAUGGCAAGUUGUUUAUGGUGAGGCGUGAGACUGAGAUGCAACAUCCUCGCUACAUUCACAGUUUAACUCGGAAGGUGGAGGUGUUUGAGGCGGACAUCAGUGCAAACAAGUGGGUGUCUGUGUCGAGUGGGCUACAUGGUCGUGCGUUUUUUCUCAGCAAACGCUCAAGCAAGUCUGUUCAUGCGGGUGAUGAGAUACAAGAGGAUGCUAUUUAUUUUAUUGACACAGGCGAAGUCUUUAACGUGAAAUCCAAGACUACAAGCCCACGAGAUAAAUCUGUUGAUUUGUGUGCGACAUGGCUCUUUUAUCCGGGUUCCUUUUAA
Molecule: ribosomal RNA, 1080 nt
Filed under: Triticum aestivum (bread wheat)
Lineage: Eukaryota; Viridiplantae; Streptophyta; Magnoliopsida; Poales; Poaceae
Description: partial small subunit ribosomal RNA
Source: RNAcentral